This 1372-nucleotide ribosomal RNA is filed under the name uncultured bacterium. Its description in RNAcentral is "bacterial SSU rRNA". It matches the Rfam family "Bacterial small subunit ribosomal RNA", at positions 28 to 1381 of the family's 1533-position model. The record is from RNAcentral.
GAUGAACGCUGGCGGCGUGCCUAAUACAUGCAAGUCGAGCGAACGGACGAGAAGCUUGCUUCUCUGAUGUUAGCGGCGGACGGGUGAGUAACACGUGGAUAACCUACCUAUAAGACUGGGAUAACUUCGGGAAACCGGAGCUAAUACCGGAUAAUAUUUUGAACCGCAUGGUUCAAAAGUGAAAGACGGUCUUGCUGUCACUUAUAGAUGGAUCCGCGCUGCAUUAGCUAGUUGGUAAGGUAACGGCUUACCAAGGCAACGAUGCAUAGCCGACCUGAGAGGGUGAUCGGCCACACUGGAACUGAGACACGGUCCAGACUCCUACGGGAGGCAGCAGUAGGGAAUCUUCCGCAAUGGGCGAAAGCCUGACGGAGCAACGCCGCGUGAGUGAUGAAGGUCUUCGGAUCGUAAAACUCUGUUAUUAGGGAAGAACAUAUGUGUAAGUAACUGUGCACAUCUUGACGGUACCUAAUCAGAAAGCCACGGCUAACUACGUGCCAGCAGCCGCGGUAAUACGUAGGUGGCAAGCGUUAUCCGGAAUUAUUGGGCGUAAAGCGCGCGUAGGCGGUUUUUUAAGUCUGAUGUGAAAGCCCACGGCUCAACCGUGGAGGGUCAUUGGAAACUGGAAAACUUGAGUGCAGAAGAGGAAAGUGGAAUUCCAUGUGUAGCGGUGAAAUGCGCAGAGAUAUGGAGGAACACCAGCGGCGAAGGCGACUUUCUGGUCUGUAACUGACGCUGAUGUGCGAAAGCGUGGGGAUCAAACAGGAUUAGAUACCCUGGUAGUCCACGCCGUAAACGAUGAGUGCUAAGUGUUAGGGGGUUUCCGCCCCUUAGUGCUGCAGCUAACGCAUUAAGCACUCCGCCUGGGGAGUACGACCGCAAGGUUGAGACUCAAAGGAAUUGACGGGGACCCGCACAAGCGGUGGAGCAUGUGGUUUAAUUCGAAGCAACGCGAAGAACCUUACCAAAUCUUGACAUCCUUUGACAACUCUAGAGAUAGAGCCUUCCCCUUCGGGGGACAAAGUGACAGGUGGUGCAUGGUUGUCGUCAGCUCGUGUCGUGAGAUGUUGGGUUAAGUCCCGCAACGAGCGCAACCCUUAAGCUUAGUUGCCAUCAUUAAGUUGGGCACUCUAAGUUGACUGCCGGUGACAAACCGGAGGAAGGUGGGGAUGACGUCAAAUCAUCAUGCCCCUUAUGAUUUGGGCUACACACGUGCUACAAUGGACAAUACAAAGGGCAGCGAAACCGCGAGGUCAAGCAAAUCCCAUAAAGUUGUUCUCAGUUCGGAUUGUAGUCUGCAACUCGACUACAUGAAGCUGGAAUCGCUAGUAAUCGUAGAUCAGCAUGCUACGGUGAAUACGUUCCCGGGUCU